RNAcentral lists this long non-coding RNA (217 nucleotides) under Elaeis guineensis (African oil palm). RNAcentral's name for it is "long non-coding RNA (EGUI_LNC054148)". Lineage: Eukaryota; Viridiplantae; Streptophyta; Magnoliopsida; Arecales; Arecaceae. The record is from RNAcentral.
CACCAAAUUCUAAUGGGAUUAGGAUUAAAAUUCAGCAUCAAGAAAGAGUCUAUUUGGACUAGGACUCCUCCAAUUAGGAGACAUCUAAUCUAAAUUAAUUAGACUCUAAAUUAGAUUUAAAUUCUUAUUUAUUUGAGUCUAAUCUGAUCUUAAUAUGAUUAAGAUUAAUUAAUAUUUUAAUUAAAUUUAAAAUAAUAAUUUAAUCAAGAGUCCCAUG